RNAcentral lists this ribosomal RNA (253 nucleotides) under uncultured bacterium. RNAcentral describes it as "partial 16S ribosomal RNA". It matches the Rfam family "Bacterial small subunit ribosomal RNA", at positions 524 to 776 of the family's 1533-position model. The record is from RNAcentral.
UACGUAGGGGGCAAGCGUUGUCCGGAAUCAUUGGGCGUAAAGAGCGUGUAGGCGGGCCGGUAGGUCUGGUGUGAAAGCCCGGGGCUCAACCCCGGAGGGUCACUGGAAACCACCGGUCUUGAAUCUGGAAGAGAAGAGUGGAAUUCCUGGUGUAGCGGUGGAAUGCGCAGAUAUCAGGAGGAACACCAAUGGCGAAGGCAGCUCUCUGGUACAUGAUUGACGCUGAGACGCGAAAGCGUGGGGAGCGAACAGG